Molecule: ribosomal RNA, 500 nt
Filed under: uncultured bacterium
Lineage: Bacteria
Description: partial 16S ribosomal RNA
Rfam family: Bacterial small subunit ribosomal RNA
Source: RNAcentral
AUUGAACGCUGGCGGCAUGCCUUACACAUGCAAGUCGAACGGCAGCACGGGAGCAAUCCUGGUGGCGAGUGGCGAACGGGUGAGUAAUGUAUCGGAACGUGCCCAGUCGUGGGGGAUAACGUAGCGAAAGCUACACUAAUACCGCAUACGAUCUAUGGAUGAAAGCGGGGGAUCGCAAGACCUCGCGCGAUUGGAGCGGCCGAUAUCAGAUUAGGUAGUUGGUGGGGUAAAGGCUCACCAAGCCGACGAUCUGUAGCUGGGCUGAGGGGACGACCAGCCACCCUGGGACUGGGACACGGCCCAGACUCCUACGGGAGGCAGCAGUGGGGAAUUUUGGACAAUGGGCGCAAGCCUGAUCCAGCAAUGCCGCGUGCAGGAUGAAGGCCUUCGGGUUGUAAACUGCUUUUGUACGGAACGAAACGGUGAGCUCUAAUACAGUUUGCUAAUGACGGUACCGUAAGAAUAAGCACCGGCUAACUACGUGCCAGCAGCCGCCGUAA